GAAAGCCACCAUGCUGGGUAA
RNAcentral lists this non-coding RNA (21 nucleotides) under Mus musculus (house mouse). The record is from RNAcentral. Lineage: Eukaryota; Metazoa; Chordata; Mammalia; Rodentia; Muridae.